GUUGUGAUUUGCUUCUAAAUUACUACCUUUGAGCCAUCAGAGACAGC
RNAcentral lists this non-coding RNA (47 nucleotides) under Bacteroides sp. CAG:462. Lineage: Bacteria; Pseudomonadati; Bacteroidota; Bacteroidia; Bacteroidales; Bacteroidaceae. The record is from RNAcentral.